UUAGAGAUCGGUGAAAAGAUGAAGUUGGCAUCGAAUCCGUGGUCUUUCGACGUUACUUCGAGCAGUGGUAACAAUUUUGAAAGAGGAGUUAAUGCGAGAAGUUCCGGCAGGGAACGCAAUUAUCCGCCACUGCUCGAGUGCCGUAACUCGACAGACUUUCAACGUGUUCAACGGAAAUUGUAUUUUCUUCUUCUUCUUUCUCGUUCAACCGUGCCACUUUGUCUAUUGGGAGGGAGGGGGGAGAAGAGGGUCUCUCUUGCCUCGAGAGAUCGAAUCGAUAACCGAUAAUUCUUAGUGAAACUUUGCAGGGAACAUCGUAUGUACGAUUUGUUUCAUCUUACGUUUUAACAAAUUUUGCGUGGAAUUAAAACUAAACAGAAAUCUUUAUUUUGUGGCGUAAAAGAACGUAGAAAGAGAAAGGAGAAAAAUUAAACAAAGGUAAAUAUCAUGGAAAGGCAACAAGGAUCUCUUUCGUUCUUCAACGAGUGUCCGAUUGAAGAGUGCUACGUUAAAGAAAGUUUUAAAAGCACGCCUUUAAUUUCAUUCAAUGCUAUCGCUCGCCAUGGAAUGAACAUUGAAAACACAGCCACUGUGAAACUAAUGAAAUUGAUUUGCACCGUUCCUCCCCGAGAAUCGACUUGGUAAAGAGUUCGAGCUCUCGAAGACACUGUUUCUUUUAAUCUUAUUUAUUGUACUUGAAACAGAGCUGCCACUUACUAAUUUUUACCACGAAUCAAAAAAAAAAAAAAAAAAAGAAAGGAAAAAUUGAGAAAGAUAUAUUUUAUAUUUUUUAAUAAUAUUGCGUAUAUCAACAUUGCGAAAUAUUUAACAAUAAAAAAAUUCGAUUCUGAAAGCAUCGAACAGUUAUUCAUUACGUAAUGAGAUUACUGCGAAGAAAUAUUGUAUCACGAGCUACGUAGUUUCUCCUCGCUUAUAUCGAAGAUCUUCGCGGAAACGGAAGUUCGACAAGGCACUGCUCUACUCUCUGCUUCUUCGAGACUACGCAUUUUAAUGAAGAUUAUUAAAAUGAGAUGGAGCUUAAGAAGUUCCGAAACAAUAUCUUAACGCGACUCGAGUUACGUGGCGAAGAUCAGUGAAAGAGAAUCUUUUUCAAAACGAGGAACGAAUUUUAUCGAGUAAACAAAAUGAAGAUUUAAAACGAUAACGAAUGAAAAAUUCAUCUUUUCGUUUCGAAAUUUAAGUAAAAGUUAAAGUAAUCCAAUUUUUCCAACGACAAGAAAAGAAUUGGAAGAUUUAACCUAACCUAAUUUAAAUUGGAAUAUUUAUUCUCAAAUUCGAUUUUUCAGUGUUUUUGGCUUUGAAAAAAUUCUGAAAUUGUUUACAUCAAGAUAUUUGAUGUAGAAUGAAACAAAUUAUCGUUGAGUUAAAGUUGGACAAAACUUUUUUCCAACAAUCUAACCUAAUUCAACUCGGGACAUUUAUUCAUACAAAACUCUUUCUUAUCGUUUUUUUUCUUGGCUUUGAAAAAACUUUGAAAAUACCGAUCAAAGCCUUUAAUUUGGAAUACAAAUCAUUAAACGAGAGUUUAAAACUUUUUCGAUAUAAAAUAAAAUCUCGUUUCCAAGUUAUUUGACGAUAAAAAUUUCCUUUUGAUCUUCACUUAUCUGUGACAAGAGUUAACGAUAAAAUAAGCAGAACGAAAAAAAAAGG
Molecule: long non-coding RNA, 1671 nt
Filed under: Apis mellifera (honey bee)
Lineage: Eukaryota; Metazoa; Arthropoda; Insecta; Hymenoptera; Apidae
Description: uncharacterized LOC107965171
Source: RNAcentral